RNAcentral lists this ribosomal RNA (78 nucleotides) under Sorex araneus (European shrew). The record is from RNAcentral. Lineage: Eukaryota; Metazoa; Chordata; Mammalia; Eulipotyphla; Soricidae.
GUCGAUGGCCAUACCACUCUGAAGGCACUCAAUCUCAUCUGAACUCAGAAGCUUAGCAGAGUCAGGCCUGGUUGGAUG